RNAcentral lists this long non-coding RNA (453 nucleotides) under Capsicum annuum. RNAcentral describes it as "long non-coding RNA (CANN_LNC007307)". The record is from RNAcentral. Lineage: Eukaryota; Viridiplantae; Streptophyta; Magnoliopsida; Solanales; Solanaceae.
UCUAUCUGAAAAAGUCAUGUCCUUUUAUCUCUUUGUCUGAAAGCUGACAAAUUCCUUGAAAAGUAAAGAGUUGCACCUAUUAGGACUAGACACAUCAUUUAUUUUAAAAGUCCAAAAAUUACAACGGUUGGUUUCCUUAAAUACAAAAUCAAAUCUUUUCUUUCUCAUUCAUUUUUUCAAAACUUGUUCUCAAUCCUUUCCUUUCAAAACUUGUCCUCUCUAUAAUCGGCCUUCUUGUUCUUUUUCAUUCACUUAAAAAGCUUCCAAAUGGUAGAAAAUCCUUCCCUCUCAAGCUUGACAAAAGACUCAAAAAAUACUCAAAACCCAUCACUCUAGUUAGAAAAUCCCAUCACUAAAAUUCCUGUUCCAUCAAUGUAUAAAAUUGCAGAGGGUACCUCUUCAAAAUCUCCUUAAUAAUAUGAGUUUAUUCCACCCUUUACACCCCUCCCCCCC